UAGGGAAUCUUCGGCAAUGGGGGGAACCCUGACCGAGCAACGCCGCGUGAGUGAAGAAGGUUUUCGGAUCGUAAAGCUCUGUUGUAAGAGAAGAACGGGUGUGAGAGUGGAAAGUUCACACUGUGACGGUAUCUUACCAGAAAGGGACGGCUAACUACGUGCCAGCAGCCGCGGUAAUACGUAGGUCCCGAGCGUUGUCCGGAUUUAUUGGGCGUAAAGCGAGCGCAGGCGGUUAGAUAAGUCUGAAGUUAAAGGCUGUGGCUUAACCAUAGUAUGCUUUGGAAACUGUUUAACUUGAGUGCAGAAGGGGAGAGUGGAAUUCCAUGUGUAGCGGUGAAAUGCGUAGAUAUAUGGAGGAACACCGGUGGCGAAAGCGGCUCUCUGGUCUGUAACUGACGCUGAGGCUCGAAAGCGUGGGGAGCAAACA
Molecule: ribosomal RNA, 427 nt
Filed under: uncultured bacterium
Lineage: Bacteria
Also listed under: 1 other name
Description: partial 16S ribosomal RNA
Rfam family: Bacterial small subunit ribosomal RNA
Source: RNAcentral